This 299-nucleotide long non-coding RNA is filed under the name Homo sapiens (human). Its description in RNAcentral is "non-protein coding lnc-SEC22C-3:1". Lineage: Eukaryota; Metazoa; Chordata; Mammalia; Primates; Hominidae. The record is from RNAcentral.
CUAGGGGAGACUAGGCUGCAACACAUGGAAGAGCUCAGCCACCUGCCUUCUCCAGGGGAAGCUGGCCUGGCAGGAGCUGGGGAGUAUGUGCUGCUGGGGGGCAACAGUGGAGGGGUCGGGGCACGCCUGGGCCACGCUGGGCUCCACUGUGGGAGGGACACUUGCCAGGUUUGCUUUGAGGCCUGUGACUUGGGCUGGGCCUCACCUGAACAGGCUCAGGAUAGCUGUGGCGACCAGAAGGGUGGCGAGGGACAGGCCGUAGCCAAUGGUGUAGCCGGUCUUCACAGAACCGUAGAACA